This 437-nucleotide ribosomal RNA is filed under the name uncultured bacterium. Its description in RNAcentral is "bacterial SSU rRNA". It matches the Rfam family "Bacterial small subunit ribosomal RNA", at positions 958 to 1392 of the family's 1533-position model. The record is from RNAcentral.
AACGCGAAGAACCUUACCAAGGCUUGACAUCCCCUUGACCGGCACAGAGAUGUGCCCUCUCCUUCGGGAGCAAGGGUGACAGGUGGUGCAUGGUUGUCGUCAGCUCGUGUCGUGAGAUGUUGGGUUAAGUCCCGCAACGAGCGCAACCCUUAUCGUUAGUUGCCAGCAGGUAAAGCUGGGCACUCUAAUGAGACUGCCGGUGAUAAACCGGAGGAAGGUGGGGAUGACGUCAAAUCAUCAUGCCCCUUAUGUCUUGGGCUACACACGUGCUACAAUGGUCGGUACAAAGGGGAGCGAAGGAGCGAUCCGGAGCAAAACCUCAUAAACCGAUCCCAGUUCGGAUUGCAGGCUGCAACUCGCCUGCAUGAAGUCGGAGUUGCUAGUAAUCGCAGAUCAGAAUGCUGCGGUGAAUGCGUUCCCGGGUCUUGUACACACCG